ACGGAGGGUGCGAGCGUUGUCCGGAAUCACUGGGCGUAAAGGGCGCGUAGGUGGCCCGUUAAGUGGUCGGUGAAAUCCCGGAGCUCAACUCCGGGGCUGCCGAUCAGACUGGCGGGCUCGAGCACGGUAGAGGCAGAUGGAAUUCCCAGUGUAGCGGUGAAAUGCGUAGAUAUUGGGAGGAACACCAGUGGCGAAGGCGGCUCACUGGACCGGUACUGACGCUGAGGCGCGAAAGCGUGGGGAGCAAACAGGA
Molecule: ribosomal RNA, 253 nt
Filed under: uncultured prokaryote
Description: partial 16S ribosomal RNA
Rfam family: Bacterial small subunit ribosomal RNA
Source: RNAcentral